AGUAAAUAGAUACCCUGGUAGUCCACGCCGUAAACGAUGAGUACUAGGUGUAGGAGGUAUCGACUCCUUCUGUGCCGCAGUUAAACACAAUAAGUACUCCGCCUGGGAAGUACGGUCGCAAGAUUAAAACUCAAAGGAAUUGACGGGGGCCCGCACAAGCAGCGGAGCAUGUGGUUUAAUUCGAAGCAACGCGAAGAACCUUACCUAGACUUGACAUCUCCUGAAUAGUGUAGAGAUACAUGAAGCCCUUCGGGGCAGGAAGACAGGUGGUGCCUGGUUGUCGUCAGCUCGUGUCGUGAGAUGUUGGGUUAAGUCCCGCAACGAGCGCAACCCUUACUUACUUAGUUGUCUACCAUUAAGUUAGUAGCACUCUAGUGAGACUGCCCGGGUUAA
Molecule: ribosomal RNA, 393 nt
Filed under: uncultured bacterium
Lineage: Bacteria
Description: bacterial SSU rRNA
Rfam family: Bacterial small subunit ribosomal RNA
Source: RNAcentral